GACGAACGCUGGCGGCGUGCUUAACACAUGCAAGUCGAACGGAAAGGCCCUGCUUUUGUGGGGUGCUCGAGUGGCGAACGGGUGAGUAACACGUGAGUAACCUGCCCUUGACUUUGGGAUAACUUCAGGAAACUGGGGCUAAUACCGGAUAGGAGCUCCUGCUGCUUGGUGGGCGUUGGAAAGUUUCGGCGGUUGGGGGUGGACUCGCGGCUUAUCAGCUUGUUGGUGGGGUAGUGGCUUACCAAGGCUUUGACGGGUAGCCGGCCUGAGAGGGUGACCGGCCACAUUGGGACUGAGAUACGGCCCAGACUCCUACGGGAGGCAGCAGUGGGGAAUAGUGCACAAUGGGAGGAAGCCUGAUGCAGCAACGCCGCGUGCGGGAUGACGGCCUUCGGGUUGGAAACCGCUUUCGCCUGUGACGAAGCGUGAGUGGCGGUAAUGGGUAAAGAAGCACCGGCUAACUACGUG
RNAcentral lists this ribosomal RNA (468 nucleotides) under uncultured bacterium. Its description in RNAcentral is "partial 16S ribosomal RNA". It matches the Rfam family "Bacterial small subunit ribosomal RNA", at positions 28 to 507 of the family's 1533-position model. The record is from RNAcentral.